RNAcentral lists this transfer RNA (72 nucleotides) under Microcaldota archaeon. RNAcentral's name for it is "tRNA-Arg". It matches the Rfam family "tRNA". Rfam says of the family: Transfer RNA (tRNA) molecules are approximately 80 nucleotides in length. Their secondary structure includes four short double-helical elements and three loops (D, anti-codon, and T loops). Lineage: Archaea; Nanobdellati; Microcaldota. The record is from RNAcentral.
GCCCCCGUAGUUCAAUGGAUAGAAUGCUGGCCUCCGAAGCCGGUGAUCCGAGUUCGAAUCUCGGCGGGGGCG